CGUAGUGAACCUGCGGAAGGA
Molecule: ribosomal RNA, 21 nt
Filed under: Chaetoceros neogracilis
Lineage: Eukaryota; Bacillariophyta; Thalassiosirophyceae; Chaetocerotales; Chaetocerotaceae
Description: partial 18S ribosomal RNA
Source: RNAcentral